GUAUAGUUUAACCUAAGACAUUAGAUUGUGGUUCUAAAAAUAGAGGUUAAACUCCUCUUGCCCGCCGAG
RNAcentral lists this transfer RNA (69 nucleotides) under Callichthys callichthys (cascarudo). RNAcentral's name for it is "tRNA-His". It matches the Rfam family "tRNA". Rfam says of the family: Transfer RNA (tRNA) molecules are approximately 80 nucleotides in length. Their secondary structure includes four short double-helical elements and three loops (D, anti-codon, and T loops). Further hydrogen bonds mediate the characteristic L-shaped molecular structure. tRNAs have two regions of fundamental functional importance: the anti-codon, which is responsible for specific mRNA codon recognition, and the 3' end, to which the tRNAs corresponding amino acid is attached (by aminoacyl-tRNA synthetases). tRNAs cope with the degeneracy of the genetic code in two manners: having more than one tRNA (with a specific anti-codon) for a particular amino acid; and 'wobble' base-pairing, i.e. permitting non-standard base-pairing at the 3rd anti-codon position. Lineage: Eukaryota; Metazoa; Chordata; Actinopteri; Siluriformes; Callichthyidae. The record is from RNAcentral.